UUUCUCUUCUCACACCCUCAUCUGUAUUCUGUGGACCCUUUUUUAUAGUCGUGGUUCUGUUUUUUAUGUUGUGACGUUGGUGUUGAAUAUCUGACACACAGGACAAUGUCCACUAAUGCAGGCACUGAAGACGCAGAGGAAGACGAUGUUGAAUUUGUCUCUGAGGGUUCGCUUAGACCUGUUCUGGAGUGCAUCGACCUGCUGAGCGAAGGAGAGGACGAUGCAGGAGUGUGUACGAUUGAGGAUCAGGUGGACAGACAGAAGGCCCAAGCAGUUUCGACCUUGGACAGACUGGCUCGCCAGGUAGCUGUGGAGAAACAGGAGCGGGCAGAAAAGUGCAAAGCCUUUAAGGAGAAGAUGAUCUCGCAGCAAGCUCAUGGCCGUCGUGAGUUGGCAGUGAGUCGAUGCAGCAGUGAGGACAGCAGUGAUGCCAAACGUUGUGUGGACAUCUGGCUGAGUAUGCCAGGAUUAAAGCCUGGUAUCAUCAAUACUGGCACGGGCUGGAGGCGCAGAUCUGCUCCCAAUCCCUCGUUAAGGUCCUCCCCUCAAACCUGCCCCGUCAUUAACUGUGGACGGGUAUAUGAAAAUGUCCCUCUGCUUGAGGGUCACCUUAAACGAUUUGACCAUUCUCCAUGUGACCCCACUAUCACACUUAAGGGCAGUCCUGCUUCUCUGUAUGCCUGCGUGGCCUGUGGUCGUCAUUUUGAGACCAGCGAGCACUGGAGAAUGCAUCUGGACUCUCAGCUGUCCUCCUCGAACACUGGUGGUCAUGACAGCUCUCAGACCUGCCAGUUGAUUGUUUGCUUCGCUUGCCCUGCCUGUUUCCUCCUCUUUAACUUCAAAGAUGAGUGUCUGCAGCACAUGGCAGCCAAAAACCACUUCACUCAGUCUGUCUCUCUACAUGAGAUGAAGUCAUCGGGGCCAAUUCCAGUUCCACGAUAUGCAAAGAACCGGCUAAUUGCUUUAUGUAAAGAUAUUGCAUUUAGAGUCAAAUGCACAGCUUGUUCAAAGGUGCUUACUUCACACAUGGAAGCCAAGGCUCACUUCAAUGUGCACUGCAGACAGGGCUGUGCUAUUGCAGAAGCCGAUCAAAGCGUGGCUGAGGUCAUGAAGCAGCUGACUGUUUUGAGCCAAUGCACUUCCUGCUCCAAAAUCUUCUUAUGCCAAAGACAGAUCGAGGAACACGGAGAACAGACACAGCACGAGGUGGAGAUGAUCAGCAGCAUGGAGCGAGCACUUCUAGUCUACAGCAACUACAGCGAAAUCCGACACGGCCUCAAGGGUACCGCCAGUCACUCCUCUAAACAUGCCAGUGCAACUGUAUCUUCGUCGCAUAGGGAUAAAAGAGACAAAAACGACUGUCUUUGGUCCCCUGCCAAGCGGCAGAGACUCUCCAGCUCAAGUCCUCAAGCUAAGUUUGAUCGAGCCUCGAAACUCGCCUGGUUCUGUGAGUGUGGUGUGCAGUUCCUGGAGGAGGAUCAAGCCAGCAAGCAUCUUCUAGCAGCCAACCAAAUCUUUCACAAGUGUGCCGUCUGCGGCAAGCUAAUGGGCGAAUCGUCCAUCGCUCGUCUGCACAUGAGCAGGUUCCAUGGCGGCGCUCAUCUGUCCAACUUCCUUUUCCACUGCAGGCUGUGCAAAUCAGACAUGCCAAGGAUUGAGGACAUCCUGUCUCAUGUUGGUGUUUCCCAUCAAGGGCACACCUACUAUGAAGAAAGAGAAAAAACUCAAGAGGAAAUCUUGUCUAGUCCUUCUCAGAAACCGUCCACCAGGGUAGACAGCGGGCCAGCAGUUUCCACUCCGCAUGAUAUCAGAAACAAGGCACGGUGGCUGUGCCGAAUGUGCGAGGACAUAUUUGAGUCUGAAGCGGUGGUGCUCAAGCAUUGCAGCGAUGUGACCAGUCACAGCUUCCAGAGGUUCGCUUGUGGCCACUGUCCACAGAAGUUCUUUAAAGAGUCGACCCUCCGCCGGCACUGUGCUAACGAGCACAAUAAUCAGCUGCUCCUUCGCUACUUUUGUGGACUCUGCGACAGCAUGCUGUACGAGUCUGAGCAGGAGUUCCUAGAGCACUACGCCAGCCUGCACAGCAAGGAUUACUACCACUUGGAUAAAAUAGAGAAUGGAUCUCUUUCAGUCCCAGAGAGUUCUUAUGAGGCACCGACAACAAGUAAAAGCCUUCCCCAACUCUGUCCAUGCAUGGGUACCCAAAAAGCCAAAGAGGAAACCAAGUCCACCUUUACAAGAUGCAUGAAGCAGCUGGCCAUAGAAGGCAAAUGUGGAUACAUCUGUCACCGAUGCGCGGCAAAGACAGGCUCUUACGCCGAGAUGAAAACGCACAUGCACUUGAAGCACGAGGCCCUGGGCAAGGACAAAAGCUUCGAUGUUAUCUGCGAGUUGUGUUCCGAGAGCCACAAGGACGUGCCCAAUUUCCACUCGCAUUACCACACCCAUCACUGCUUAAUGGAACCGUGUAUGUCGUCUCGAUGCAGUGGAUCAAGCAGGGAAGAUGCCUCGAUCGAGAAGGUUUUGAACGCAGAGGAAAUCUCUGCCGAAAAGAAUGCUGAGGAGUUUCAGGAUGUAAAUACAGCCAUUGCUUCAAGCACCACUUCCAAAGAGAACAAGGAUGACUUUGAUGAGGCGAUUAAACUGGCUUUGGCUUUAAGUGCAGAAGAAGCGAAGGAGCCAACAGCAUUUGAUCAGGCUUUGAAUCUCUGAAAAGAGGUACCAGCAUAACUGUGAAAUCAGCUUGGUAAACUCACACUGGGCUAUUAAAGGGAUAAGAGAAGCUUUGGGUGAUAAGGAGCACUGUUUGAGGCCUUGUUUUCACGGUGAGGUGUUUGGGGCUGUCUGUUAAGUGUCUUAGAUGUGACUGGAAAAUGUAGCACUUGGCACUCUUUAUCUAGAGACAGUUGUGGGAAAUGUAUUAUACUGAAGAAUUAGUCAAAUUGCUGUAACAGAUUGGUUAGGAAGUAGAAGUGUGUAUACAAUUGGUAACCAAAUCAAGCUCAGGAGCUGAAUCAGAACCACCAAAUUUGAAGGUACUUGAUUUCGAACCACUCCAAUGUCGCUUUGGCAGUAUGUUUCUAUCCUUUUCCACCCCAUUCUCAAGGCUGGAGCAGGUUUUCUUUUAAAAAAUACCCUGUAUUUGGCUUCAUCCUUCUACCUUCAAACCUGACCAGUUUUUACUGAUGAAAGGCUUUCCUACAACAAGAUGCUACCACCAUCAUGUUUCACUUUGAGAUUGGUGUUCUUCUGAGGGGAACUGCUUGCACCAGGGGUUUCACAGCAACAGGAGAUGGAAGAGGCUCUGAAGAGAAGCCUGGUGGACUUUUGAUCGGAAGCUACACACACAAACACACACCAUUGAAUUUGUCCUUUAUUUUCAUGUUGUUCAUGUAGCAACUGUAAGCUGUUAAAUUUUUGUGAAUGUGUCCUGAGGAGUAAAUAAAGAAAACUAAGCUUAA
RNA transcript from Ictalurus punctatus (channel catfish), 3461 nucleotides. It is a transcript of the gene named zinc finger protein 451, with no coding region annotated. NCBI's taxonomy places the organism in Eukaryota, Metazoa, Chordata, Actinopteri, Siluriformes, Ictaluridae. The transcript is spliced from 14 exons. The record is from RefSeq and is a predicted model, not a curated record.